Molecule: ribosomal RNA, 828 nt
Filed under: Triticum aestivum (bread wheat)
Lineage: Eukaryota; Viridiplantae; Streptophyta; Magnoliopsida; Poales; Poaceae
Description: partial small subunit ribosomal RNA
Source: RNAcentral
AUGGCGACAGCGUUCUCAACGAAGCAGCCGCUGCGGGUCGCUACGCCUACAAACAAAUGGCGUCCAAGGUUGCCGCUAAUUAAAAUGCAAUAUUCGUCCAACAAACGAGCCAGUGCUUCCAUUUCAUUGCCAUCCAGUGCCGAGGGUGUGGAGAGAAACGAGCCCAUAGUCAAAAUGUGUGGCAUCACAUCUGCUAGAGAUGCAGAAUUCGCUGCAAAGGCUGGAGCUAAACUUAUCGGGAUGAUUCUUUGGCCCAAGUCCAAACGAUCUGUCCAACGGUCAGAAGCGAAGGAAAUAUCCAGAGUAGCAAAGUCAUAUGGGGCUGAAGCUGUUGGUGUGUUUGUCGAUGAUGACGAAGAGACCAUCUUAAGAGUAGCCGAUUCAUGCAACCUUCAACUUAUUCAGCUUCAUGGAGAUAGUUCUCGGGCACUAGUUCCUGCUCUUGCCAAGAACAACCGAAUUGUGUAUGUUCUUAAUGCUGACGCGGACGGAAAACUUAUCAAUUCCCCCCCCAGUGAAGAAUACGACAUUGACUGGUUUUUGGUGGACAGUGCAGAGGGUGGAAGCGGCAAAGGAUUCAACUGGGACAAUUUUCGAAUGCCAUCGGUGAAAAGCAAGAACGGCUGGCUGCUAGCAGGAGGCCUUCAUGCGGACAAUGUUUGCCAAGCUGCUUCCGCUCUAAAACCAAAUGGUGUGGAUGUUAGCAGUGGAAUAUGCUCUCCUGACGGUAUAAGCAAGGACCCGAAGAGGAUAUCGUCCUUCAUGAGAAGCGUGCAAUCCUUAAGUUCCCGACGAGGUCUCUAUUUAGACGCCCCAGGCUUAUUGUAG